CGGGGAAGAACUAACAAGGAUUCCCCUAGUAACUGCGAGUGAAGCGGGAAAAGCUCAAAUUUAAAAUCUGGCGGUCCUUGGCCGUCCGAGUUGUAAUCUAGAGAAGUGUUACCCGCGCUGGACCGUGUACAAGUCUCCUGGAAUGGAGCGUCAUAGAGGGUGAGAAUCCCGUCUCUGACACGGACUACCAGGGCUUUGUGGUAUGCUCUCAAAGAGUCGAGUUGUUUGGGAAUGCAGCUCAAAAUGGGUGGUAAAUUCCAUCUAAAGCUAAAUAUUGGCGAGAGACCGAUAGCGAACAAGUACCGUGAGGGAAAGAUGAAAAGAACUUUGGAAAGAGAGUUAAACAGUACGUGAAAUUGCUGAAAGGGAAACGCUUGAAGUCAGUCGCGUUGGCCGGGGAUCAGCCUUGCUUUUGCAUGGUGUACUUUCCGGUUGACGGGUCAGCAUCAAUUUUGACCGCUGGAAAAAGGCUUGGGGAAUGUGGCAGCUCCGGCUGUGUUAUAGCCCCUUGUCAUAUACAGCGGUUGGGAUUGAGGAACUCAGCACGCCGCAAGGCCGGGGUCAAACCACGUUCGUGCUUAGGAUGCUGGCAUAAUGGCUUUAAGCGACCCGUCUUGAAACACGGACCAAGGAGUCUAACAUGCCUGCGAGUGUUUGGGUGGAAAACCCGAGCGCGUAAUGAAAGUGAAAGUUGAGAUCCCUGUCGUGGGGAGCAUCGACACCCGGACCAGAACUUUUGGGACGGAUCCGCGGUAGAGCAUGUAUGUUGGGACCCGAAAGAUGGUGAACUAUGCCUGAAUAGGGUGAAGCCAGAGGAAACUCUGGUGGAGGCUCGUAGCGAUUCUGACGUGCAAAUCGAUCGUCAAAUUUGGGUAUAGGGGCGAAAGACUAAUCGAACCAUCUAGUAGCUGGUUCCUGCCGAUUUCCCCUUCUAGAGA
Molecule: ribosomal RNA, 938 nt
Filed under: Lepiota cristata
Lineage: Eukaryota; Fungi; Basidiomycota; Agaricomycetes; Agaricales; Agaricaceae
Description: partial large subunit ribosomal RNA
Rfam family: Eukaryotic large subunit ribosomal RNA
Source: RNAcentral